CGUCGCCGCGCGGGAGAGCUCCGGACCGAGGUUCGGACGCCGAAGGAGCAGCACCUCCCCGUCAAUCUCUCAGGCACCCGGACCGUGCGGGCAUC
This 95-nucleotide non-coding RNA is filed under the name Rhodococcus sp. (in: high G+C Gram-positive bacteria). RNAcentral describes it as "Rhodococcus sp. Glycine sequence". It matches the Rfam family "Glycine riboswitch aptamer". Rfam says of the family: This family represents the bacterial glycine riboswitch. Glycine riboswitches usually consist of two metabolite-binding aptamers domains with similar structures in tandem. Lineage: Bacteria; Bacillati; Actinomycetota; Actinomycetes; Mycobacteriales; Nocardiaceae. RNAcentral also lists the same sequence under 1 other name. The record is from RNAcentral.